GACGAACGCUGGCGGCGUGCCUAAUACAUGCAAGUCGAACGCUUCUUUCCUCCCGAGUUCUUGCACUCGAUUGGAAAGAGGAGUGGCGGGCGGGUGAGUACCACGUGUGUAACCUACCCAUCAGAGGGGGAUAACACUUUGCAACAGGUGCUAAUACCGCCUAACAGUUUAUGCCGCAUGGCAUAAGAGUUAAAGGCGCUUUCGGGUGUCGCUUAGGGAUGGACCCGCGGCGCAUUAGCUGGUUGGUGAGGUAACGGCUCACCAAGGCGACGAUGCAUAGCCGACCUGAGAGGGUGAUCAGCCACACUGGAACUGAGACACGGUCCAGACUCCUACGGGAGGCAGCAGUAGGGAAUAUUGGGCAAUGGACGAAAGUCUGACCGAGCAACGCCGCGUGAGUGAAGAAGGUUUUCGGAUCGUAAAACUCUGUUGUUAGAGAAGAAAAACGACAGUAGAAACUGAAGGUCCCCUGACGGUAUCUAACCAGAAAGCCACGGCUAACUACGUG
This 508-nucleotide ribosomal RNA is filed under the name uncultured bacterium. RNAcentral's name for it is "partial 16S ribosomal RNA". It matches the Rfam family "Bacterial small subunit ribosomal RNA", at positions 28 to 507 of the family's 1533-position model. The record is from RNAcentral.